CACGUAGGCACCAAGCGUUGUCCGGAUUUAUUGGGCGUAAAGAGCGUGUAGGCGGCCUGGUAGGUCCGCUGUGAAAACUCGAGGCUCAACCUCGAGAUGUCGGCGGAAACCACUUGGCUAGAGUCCGGAAGAGGAGAGUGGAAUUCCUGGUGUAGCGGUGAAAUGCGCAGAUAUCAGGAAGAACACCUAUGGCGAAGGCAGCUCUCUGGGACGGUACUGACGCUGAGGCUCGAAAGCGUGGGGAGCAAACAGG
RNAcentral lists this ribosomal RNA (253 nucleotides) under uncultured bacterium. Its description in RNAcentral is "partial 16S ribosomal RNA". It matches the Rfam family "Bacterial small subunit ribosomal RNA", at positions 524 to 776 of the family's 1533-position model. The record is from RNAcentral.